UACGUAGGGAGCAAGCGUUGUCCGGAAUCAUUGGGCGUAAAGCGCGCGUAGGUGGCCUCAUAAGUCCGCUGUGAAAGUCAAAGGCUCAACCUUUGAAAGCCGGUGGAUACUGUGAGGCUAGAGUACGGAAGAGGCGAGUGGAAUUCCUGCUGUAGCGGUGGAAUGCGCAGAUAUCAGGAGGAACACCAAUAGCGAAGGCAGCUCGCUGGGACGUUACUGACACUGAGGCGCGAAAGCGUGGGGAGCGAACAGG
This 253-nucleotide ribosomal RNA is filed under the name uncultured bacterium. RNAcentral's name for it is "partial 16S ribosomal RNA". It matches the Rfam family "Bacterial small subunit ribosomal RNA", at positions 524 to 776 of the family's 1533-position model. The record is from RNAcentral.